RNAcentral lists this long non-coding RNA (729 nucleotides) under Cricetulus griseus (Chinese hamster). RNAcentral's name for it is "lncRNA (ENSCGRG00015031744.1)". Lineage: Eukaryota; Metazoa; Chordata; Mammalia; Rodentia; Cricetidae. The record is from RNAcentral.
UGAGUCAGCUCCAUCUCUUGAGUUAACUCCCAUUUCUAAAAGUAGUGUAACAGUGUCUUCAAAUACCUCUUAAAACUGCAGUCUUUGCCAAUGACCCUACACCACGGAUUCCCAUGAAACACCGGAGCACCUAUCUGUUUCAUUCCCUGACAGGCCACAAUGGAUUGGCAGCCUUAUUUCUUCUGAGAAGCACAAAAGCCACAUUGGCUCAAAACAGCUUUUGGUUUUCUGACCCCUAUGGUACCCACUGGGUUUGCUUCACUGGUCAGCAAUUGACAGUUAGACUCAUUUGAGCCUUCAUCCAGCAGCUGAUGGAAGUUGAAGCAGAUACCCACAGCUAAACCUGAACUGAACUGGAAUCCAGUUGAAGAGAAGGAGGAGUGAGAGCAAAGAGUCAAGACCAGGCUGUUGAAACCCACAGAAAUACCGGACCUUAAUAAGGGAGAGAACUUGGCCCCCAGACUGAUCACUGGGAAACCAGCUUUGAACUCAUCCAGAUCCCAUGAAUAGCCUUCAUCCAGCAGCUGAUGGAAGUUGAAGCAGAUACCCACAGCUAAACCUGAACUGAACUGGAAUCCAGUUGAAGAGAAGGAGGAGUGAGAGCAAAGAGUCAAGACCAGGCUGUUGAAACCCACAGAAAUACCGGACCUUAAUAAGGGAGAGAACUUGGCCCCCAGACUGAUCACUGGGAAACCAGCUUUGAACUCAUCCAGAUCCCAUGAAUGUAGG